This is a non-coding RNA of Misgurnus anguillicaudatus (oriental weatherfish), 5484 nucleotides long. The record is from RefSeq and is a predicted model, not a curated record. NCBI's taxonomy places the organism in Eukaryota, Metazoa, Chordata, Actinopteri, Cypriniformes, Cobitidae.
CUGACGUGCGGUGACGUCAUAAAAGGUGCGCUACAGCUCGUCUGUCGUUUGGGGGAAGAUUAAAGCGUUUGUGUGAGGUCUAUUCCUGUAAAUGCUGAAGAAACAAUCUUAAAUGAAGUCACUAUCACACCAGUUCAUCUAUAAAUGCUGUGAAAAAGUCAAACAAGCAGCUGCUGUCACAACACAUUCAACUACUCUACUAUUCUGAUCCACUGUUGUAAUGAUGGAGUGUGUUAAAGAGGAGACUGAUCCUGAAUCAUUCACUAUAACACCUCAACAUACUCAACAACAAACAGAUUUGGUGAAAGUGAAAGAGGAAGGUGAAGAAUGCAAUGAACUAAAGGAUGAACAUCAGGACCACAAUUUUGCGACUGACAGCUGCUCAGAAACUGAUGAGAAUUCCCCUCAAGAAAGUACUGAAGCCAAAAAGGUUUUUGAAUGCCAUCUUUGUGAUAAGACUUUCUCACUAAAAGGGAACCUAACGUAUCAUCUAAAGAGUCACACUGGUGAGAGACCUUAUGCUUGCUCCUACUGUGAGAAGACUUUUUUUCAAGAAUGUCAUCUUAGGUAUCACAUAAUAAAACACACUGGUGAGAGACCUCACGCAUGCUCUCAGUGUGAGAAGACUUUCAUCCAAAAAAAUCAACUUAAGUACCACAUGAUGAGUCACACAGGUGAAACGCCCUUUGCCUGCCCUUAUUGUGAUAGACGUUUUAUUAAAAAAGGAACUCUUAAUACUCACUUAAAGACUCACAGUACUGAAAGGCCGUACAUCUGCCCUCAAUGUGGAAAGAGUUUUUCACGGCAGGGACUCUUAAAUGCUCAUGUGAGACGCCACACUAGUGAUAAGCCGUACACCUGCUCUCAUUGUGGAAAGAGUUUCUUAUUUAAAUCACGUCUACAGGAUCACAUACGAAUUCACACUGGAGAGAAACCUUUUAAAUGCCCUCAGUGUGAUAAGAGCUUUAAACAACAAGGAGGUCUUAGGUAUCACAUAAGAAUUCAUACAGGUGAGAAGCCUUUCACGUGCCAUCUGUGUGGUAAGAGUUACAUACAUCCACAAGGUCUGAGAUUUCAUUUGCAGGUUCACUUGAAUGAAAGGCCGUUUAGUUGCGAUCAGUGCGAUAAGAAGUAUGUUUCAUCAACUCUGUUAAAAGAGCACCUAAAGACUCAUACAGGUGAGAAGCCAUAUUUGUGUUCUGCUUGUGGGAAGAGUUUUCCAUCUCUUAAAAGAGUUAAAUUGCACCAGAAGAGGCACGCAGGUGUGAAGUGCUCUGUGUGUGAAAAUUUAUUUUUGGGACCCAAAGAGCUGGAGCAGCACCAGAAGAUUCAUACUGGAGAAAACACCUAAAAGUGCUCACAUUGUGGGAAGAGUUUUAUUGAGUCUGUGACGCUGAUCAAACACAAGUGACUGUAUACUGGAGAGAAGCUGAAAUGCAGAUAAACGUUACACUUGAAAUUCUCCCCAAACAAUUAAUUUCAGUGCAUUAUCUACAAUAGAAACAUGUUAAUUUAAUAAAGUAACAUCAGACCAUCCAGAAGACUGGGUUUCCCGAUAACGAUUGAACUUAGCACUUAAGAGCGCUUUCUAUGAGCUACUUAAUGAACAUUCGUUGUUUAUAUAUGUGUGUUUCCCAAAAUGCACAUAAAACGAUCGCUCGCAGCUGGGUUUUAAGUGCUAGUGAAGAGUCGCUAUCCGUUUGUCAAGUGCUGAAAUGUCACCAAUUGAAUGACUUGAAUUUGUAGCAGAAGCUUGUUUAGGCUAAUGAUCUUCAGCUGAUGUGCACUUAUAUUUUUAUAAUAUUUUCAUUAUUGUUCAAUGACUUUUUAUGUUUUAAUAAUUUGUGCAUAAUUAUUAUAUUCCGUAUUUAGUUAGCACUCGUCCCACUGCAAAAUGUCUUCUGCAUUUUAUAUUAUAGUUUAGAUUAUUAUUAUUCUUUGUUGUUUAUAUCUAUGUUUAUUUAUUAUUAUGGAUUAUUGCAUUGUACCGUAUAUAUUUAUUUGGUUUCUUUUAUCAGAUGCCAUUUCAAAACAUUUUUUACUGUAGAUGAAUUAUACCAGCAAUUGGCAGGAACCUUUGAUCAAUUUGCUAGUACCAACAGAGUCAGAUUUGGCAGGCCUUCACAAAAAAAUGCCUUGACAAAAGGGCACUUUGCCAUCCAGGGGUAGAGGGGCAGGUGCUCAAGCACCCUCCACCCUGCACGUGCCUGCUUUGGAUAUAUAUCUAACUGGCUUUUUGUCUCAUCAAUUUAUUUCUCUUUAUUAUUCAUAUGAAGUCUGUUAUAUGUUAUUAUCAUUUUAACGGAUGUUUAAUUUAAGUUUCAUAACUUAAAUCAUGAUAUAUAUUUUCUAUAUAAUCUUAACACUAUAGUAAAUCAUUGGGGUUUACUGUAAUUGGAUUUUUUCAAAUGAAAUGUAUUCUUCUAACAAAUUCCUUAAUUAAAAUGUUAACAUGGAAUUAGUAUUAUUAUUUUUUUUUUUUUGCAAUAGCCAUUUUGAAAGACACUGAUCAAAUCUUAAUUUCAUUUUGCAAAACUUUUUUGGAGAUCAGCUCAUGGUUGUUCAAAAAAGAGGUCGUUUUUGAUGAUUUUGCUUUCACGUUAUAACAUGUUUUAUAUGAAAUAAGACUACUGAGUUCAGUUUUAUUUGCUUAAUAACAUUGUGAUAUUGGCAAAAUAUUUCAUUCAUAAAUUUAGAUUCUUAAAAUCCAUUCCACUAUUAAUUGUAUAUAGAAACAAUUUAAGCUUUUUUCUAAAGCCCUGGCCAAAAUAGGAGGUUGAAGUGGUUUUUAAUAUCAUAUGAUCUAUUUUGAUAUUGCCCUAAACAUUUAUUUUCUAUGUAUGUAAAUGAUUUCAAGUGUUUAUUUUUUAUUUAUUUAUUUUGACUAUGCAUGGUUAUGUUGCCUUUAUGUCAAUCGCUUCAUGUAGAAUGAAUACAUUUGCUUUUGUUGUAAUUAAAGUUUUGUAUUUAAUAAAAAAAGAUUAAAUAAGGAGACUUUUAUUUUGGUUCUUGAAGCUUAUCGUGUGGUGACGUCAUAAGGAGUGCGCUACCCCUCGUCUGUCGGUUGAGGCAUAUUGAGGUGUUUAUGUGAGUUCAUCUAUAAAUACUGCGAAGAAGUCAAACAAGCAGCUGCUGUCACAACACAUUCAACUACUCUACUAUUCUGAUCCACUGUUGUAAUGAUGGAGUGUGUUAAAGAGGAGACUGAUCCUGAAUCAUUCACAAUAACACCUCAACAUACUCAACAACAGAAAGAUUUGGUGAAAGUGAAAGCAGAAGAGGAAGAUCAAGAACACAAUGAAGUAAAGGAUGAACAUCAGGACCACAAUUUUAUGACUGACAGCUGCUUAGAAUCUGAUGAGAACUCCCCUCAAGAAAGUACUAAAGCCAAAAAUGGUUUUGAAUGCCAUCUUUGUGAUAAGACUUUCUCACUAAAAGGGAACCUAACGUAUCAUCUAAAGAGUCAUACUGGUGAGAGACCUUAUGCUUGCUCCUACUGUGAGAAGACAUUUUUUCAAGAAUGUCAUCUUAGGUAUCACAUAAUAAAACACACUGGUGAAAAGAAGCCUCACGCAUGCUCCCAGUGUGAGAAGGCUUUCCUCCAAAAAAAUCAACUUAAGUAUCACAUGAUGGUUCACACAGGUGAGAGGCCCUUUGCCUGCCCUUAUUGUGAUAGACGUUAUAUUAAAAAAGGAACUCUUAAUACUCACUUAAAGACUCACAGUACUGAAAAGCCGUAUGUCUGCGCUCAAUGUGGAAAGAUGUACACAUUUAGAUCACAUCUUAAGAAUCAUAUGAUAACUCACACUCAGACAAAGCCUUUCUCAUGCCCUCAGUGUGGAAAGAGUUUUUCACAGAAGGGACUCUUAACUGCUCAUAUGAGACGCCACACUAAUGAUAAGCCGUACACCUGCUCUCAUUGUGGAAAGAGUUUCUUAGGUAAAGCCCAUCUACAGUAUCACAUACGAGUUCACACUGGAGAGAAACCUUUCACAUGCCCUCAGUGUGAUAAGAGCUUUGCACAACAAGGAAGUCUUAGGUAUCACAUACGAAUUCAUACAGGUGAGAAGCCCUACUCGUGCCAUCUUUGUGGUAAGAGUUACGCGCAGGCACAAGGUCUGAGAUUUCAUUUGCAGGUUCACUCGAAUGAAAGGCCGUUUAGUUGCGAUCAGUGCGAUAAGAAGUUUUUUUCGGCAUCUCUGUUAAAAGAGCACAUAAAGAUUCAUACAGGUGAGAAGCCAUAUUUGUGUUCUGUUUGUGGGAAGAGGUUUCCAACACUUAAAACAGUAAAAAUGCACCAGAAGAGGCACGCGGGUGUGAAGUGCUCUGUGUGUGAAAAUGUAUUUUUGGGACCCAAAGAGCUGGAGCAGCACCAGAAGAUUCAUACUGGAGAAAACCCCUAAAAGUGUUCACAUUGUGUAAAGAGUUUAUUGAGUCUGUGACGCUGAUCAAACACAAGUGACUGUAUACUGGAGAGAAGCUGCACCGCUGUCAUUCAUGUUGAAGAAGUUUCAGACGAUCACACAGCUGCAGAUUCACAGAGAAAAGCGCAGUGAACAAAGAUUAACUUCAGUCUUCAAGUCCAAACACAUGAUGUAAAAUGCAGAUAAACCGUACAACUGAAAUUCUCCCCAAACAAGUAAUUUCAGUGUAUUAUCUACUAAAUAGCAACAUGUUAAUUUAAUAAAGUGAAAUCAGACCAUACAGAUCCUCUCCAGGGGCCUCAUUUAAAAAACUGCAUAGAUUUCAUCCUUGAAGUGUGCGUAUGCAUAUACACUGUAAAAAGUGAAAAGUUGGAUCAACUUUAAAAUUACUUGACCUGGUAAAGUUGCAAUUUAUACUUGUACGUAUGUGUGAUUGCAUGACAGUAUAAUAAACCCUUAACACCUUUAAAAAGUAAUUAAUUUUAACUUAUAUUUUUAUUUAAAGUGUUAAUGAAUUAUUAGGAAGAACUAUUCACUAAUAUCAGACUAGUUAUGAAUCUGUUGGUAGAAUAUAAUAAUUUUAAAGAGAUUUUUUUUACUCUAAGAAGGCCUUUGACAUGUUAGAACAGACAGUCAAACCAAAAAUUAUUCAGACACCAGAUAUAAUUGUUCAAAUGUUUUAAUAGGGGUUGCAGGACACCAUAGUUUAUUGAUGUAAUUGAGAAUAGCAAAAUAAAGUAAACUGUGACACAUACAAAAACAUUAUUCAUACAUGGUAACAUUUUAGACUAUAAUGCUUUUACAUUGAAACAUGGCUUUACCUGCUAAUGCAAUACCUUCUGGCAUAAAAUGAUAAUGAGAUGCUCCCUUCUAAUGCUAAAGUUCAGUUCUUCCCGCUUUAUACAUUGGUGAUAUUGAUUUUAAGAGUUAUCACUGUACUAACAAAUAUAUAAGAUAUAUAAGUUAAAAUAAAUAAUUUAGAUCACAAUAAUGUAAAAUAUUUUAGAACAGCUUAUUUAGGCUAUUGUGCUAUUCCUCCAAAAGCAAAAGAAACCGAAUA